This 1717-nucleotide ribosomal RNA is filed under the name uncultured Tintinnida. RNAcentral's name for it is "eukaryotic LSU rRNA". The stretch from base 312 to 1717 matches the Rfam family "Eukaryotic large subunit ribosomal RNA", at positions 1 to 1462 of the family's 3401-position model. Lineage: Eukaryota; Ciliophora; Spirotrichea; Tintinnida. The record is from RNAcentral.
ACGAUGAAGAACGCAGCGAAGUGCGAUAAGCAGUGCGAAUUGCAGAACCGUGAGUCAUCAGAUUUUUGAACGCAACUUGUGCCAACAAUGGCAACAUUGUGGCACGUCUGGUCCAGUGUCUUAUUUUCUCCUCACCCAAAUCAUAAUGCGAGAGAUGCCCUUCUCUUGCCAAGUACGAAAGCACUCUGCAGCUGCGAGCGACCUUCGGGUCGCACUCAAUGCGGUCGUCACAUUCUCGUAAUGUGAACUCAUUGAGAGCAGAGGCAGUGCGGCAAUAGCUGCCAGUGCUUAGUCAAGCCAACUUAGGUAUCUAAUCUGGGCUCAGGUGGGACUACCCGCUGAACUUAAGCAUAUCACUAAGCGGAGGAAAAGAAACUAACAAGGAUGGCCUCAGUAAUGGCGAAUGAAGCGGCCAGAGCCCAAAAUGGAAAUCACCGUGCAGAGUACGGCGAAUUGUAAUCUGGAGAGGAGCUGCUCAAACGGCGGAGGCGCAGAACAGUCUGGAAAGGCUGGCCAUAGAGGGUGAUAGCCCCGUACGUGGCGCCCCCGGCGAACGAGCACUUCAUCAAAGAGUCGGGUUGUUUGAUAUUGCAGCCCCAAGCGGGAGAUAAACUUCUUCUAAGGCCAAAUAUAUGUGGGAAACCGAUAGCGAACAAGUACUGUGAAGGAAAGAUGAAAAGCAACUUGGAAAGGAUGUUAAAAGGCCUGAAACCGUUGAGAAGGAAGCGGUAGAGAAGAAUAGUACUCGAAGGCACUGAACCGGAGCUUAGCGAAGGGGUGUGCUCAGAGUGAGGCCGGAUGGAGCGGCAACACCGCAAAGACACGUGAGAAAGUUGCUUCGGUGGAAUCUUGCGAAAGUCGGUGGAGUUGCGGCUCGAGGGGCUAAGUGCGAUCCGGUCAAAAUGGUCUUUACCAACUCGUCUUGAAACACGAACCAAGGAGUCUAACGUAUACGCGAGUGUGAAGGUGGAAAAACCGUCACGCGAAAUGAAAGUGAGUGAUGCCAAAUUAGCAGCAUCGACCGACCGAACUCUCGGGUAAGGUUUGAGUAUGAGCGUGUCCGCUAGGACCCGAAAGAUGGUGAACUAUGCCUGUGUAGGGUGAAGUCAGGGGAAACUCUGAUGGAAGCUCGUAGCGAUACUGACGUGCAAACCGUUCGUCUAACAUGGGUAUAGGGGCGAAAGACUAAUCGAACCAUCUAGUAGCUGGUUCCCUCCGAAGUUUCCCUCAGGAUAGCUGGGACAAUUGCGCAGUUUUAUUAGGUAAAGCGAAUGAUUAGAGGCCUCGGGGGCUUCUUGCCCUCGACCUAUUCUCAAACUUUAAAUUGGUAAGAACCCAGGCCUGGCUUAGUUGAGGCUCUGGGGCUCAAUGCGUGUCCUUAGUGGGCCAUUUUUGGUAAGCAGAACUGGCGAUGAGGGAUGCUCCUAACGUUGGGUUAAGGCGCCAAACUGCGCGCUCAUCAGAUACUAUAAAGGGUGUUGGUCCAUUAAGACAGCAGGACGGUGGCCAUGGAAGUUGGAAUCCGCUAAGGAGUGUGUAACAACUCACCUGCCGAAUGGACUAGCCCCGAAAAUGGAUGGCGCUUAAGCGCGCGGCCGAUACCCAACCAUCGCUGCGAGAGUGAGGCAGCGAUGAGUAGGAGGGCGUGGGCGUCGUGUCGAAGCCUAUGGCGUGAGCCUGGGUAGAACGGCGUCUAGUGCAGAUCUUGGUGGUAGUA